Molecule: long non-coding RNA, 1655 nt
Filed under: Mus musculus (house mouse)
Lineage: Eukaryota; Metazoa; Chordata; Mammalia; Rodentia; Muridae
Description: long non-coding RNA chr9:82976165-82977820
Source: RNAcentral
UUUUUUUGAGCCACUUGCGUUCUGCAAACCCGUUAUUCCCCGAAGCCACCUCUGCAUAUUUCUUUUAUUACUACCAUCGCCUGAAGCGUUCGUUUAAAAAAAAAAAAUGUUUUUGUUUUGAUAAACGGGCAAGAGGAACUCCAGAUUUGUACUUCAGCUCAUCUUUUCCCCCACUUAUUACAAAAAGGCUAGUGAUGGCUAAUUAGGGAUUUGGAAGUGAAGAACCUUAAAGCUUUUUAAAGUGUUUACAAGAAGGGCUAAUAUAAACCUGAAGGAAAGGAAAGGGCGCUAGCUAAUACUUAUCUCUAACUGAUAUGGAGGUAAAUUACUGACACGGUCGAUAACCUACCGAAGGUUAUUGAAAGAGUAUAUUACAGUUUAGCAAAGGUGAUUAGUGAUUAAAUAAUUUAAAUUAUCUGUGUAUCUUGCAGUUGACUUCGUCAUGCUAAUUAAUGGCUUCUAAUUUACGGUGUAAACCAUUCCUGUUUACAGUUAAUCACGGGAAGACUUCUUAAAAACUGGCGAAAAGCAGAAACAAAAAUCUUUUCGUAAAUCCUAAUGUAAUUACUGGUUUUAUAUGAUACAUCGUUCAUCUGUGUUUUGCUGAUGAGGAUAGGGGCCUUGUUAUUUUUAAAACGAAUAUGGGUGAAAUUAAUGGAAACAAUGGAAAAGGCCGUUUGUUAAAAAACAAGGACACCGAGUGAUAUUUAUCUCCAGAUGAAUUAAGCACUUUCCAAAAAGACUUUGAGAGUUCAAUUUUUUUAAAGGUUGGCCUUUUAAAGAGAAUUAGGCUAGUCAUUCUUUUGUUAAUCCUUAACAAAAGAUCCUCUUUGAAUUUCUUAGAUAAUAAGCUGCAUUUUAUGGGUCUGAUUUUAAAAGGUAAUUUGUGAGGUAAGGACCAAGAAGCUGGAUUGUGGUUUUCCGGGAUUGUUUCCUCAAGCCCUGCACCCUCCUAGCUCCCUGCCUUCCUAGUGGGAAAUGCUGCAGCCGCCUUAGGCUGUACUGCAAGAGCACUAAAACACCAGACAUUCUCACACAUGUGAGCACGAGGAAACCGUCUCAACCCCCUUUGGAAUCAUGGAUGUAAAAUUGCCUUUUGUAACUCAAUAAAAAUAAGAGGUUACCCCGAUUGGUCCUAAUGCUACAGUAUUAUAAGAUCUGCCCCUAAACUGGUGUGGCUAGCCUCAGAAUCUGGACAUGUUUGCAUUUUUAAAACGUGUAAUCCUAGUCUUACAAUGUUAGGUAAAGUAGCCUGCUUCUGAAUAAUUAGGCAUAAAACAUAUUUUAUAUGCCUUUGCAAUUGUAUUUAUUUAUGUGACUAAUGUUGUUUUAUCUUAACUUUUUAAAAUGCAUUAUGUCCUUCAAAUAAUUUAGGUACUUCAUUGAGAAGGUCUUUAAAUGAACAGAUUUUGAGAACUAAAAAUUCUACUUGAGGCUUGCUGGUUCUGCACGCAACACUAAUCUAAUUCUUCCUCUUAGAUGUUUUGCCCUUGAGAGGUAAAAAUCAAAUUUUGGCAAGUAAUGUAAACUGUAUCUGGAUAAAGUUUUGUAGGUGUUAGGAGACAUGGGAGGCUAGCAUGAUACCAUGUAUGUUUUCCAUGCAGAAGCCAUGGGAGCUUUUUCUUGAGACUGAAAACAAAAAUAAAAAACUGUUU